RNAcentral lists this ribosomal RNA (406 nucleotides) under uncultured bacterium. RNAcentral describes it as "bacterial SSU rRNA". It matches the Rfam family "Bacterial small subunit ribosomal RNA", at positions 9 to 419 of the family's 1533-position model. The record is from RNAcentral.
GAGUUUGAUCAUGGCUCAGAUUGAACGCUGGCGGCAUGCCUUACACAUGCAAGUCGAACGGUAACAGGUCUUCGGACGCUGACGAGUGGCGAACGGGUGAGUAAUACAUCGGAACGUGCCCAGUCGUGGGGGAUAACUACUCGAAAGAGUAGCUAAUACCGCAUACGAUCUGAGGAUGAAAGCGGGGGACCUUCGGGCCUCGCGCGAUUGGAGCGGCCGAUGGCAGAUUAGGUAGUUGGUGGGAUAAAAGCUUACCAAGCCGACGAUCUGUAGCUGGUCUGAGAGGACGACCAGCCACACUGGGACUGAGACACGGCCCAGACUCCUACGGGAGGCAGCAGUGGGGAAUUUUGGACAAUGGGCGAAAGCCUGAUCCAGCAAUGCCGCGUGCAGGAUGAAGGCCUUC